CCCGGGGUAGGGAAGGUGCAGGGCUGAGG
Molecule: non-coding RNA, 29 nt
Filed under: Cricetulus griseus (Chinese hamster)
Lineage: Eukaryota; Metazoa; Chordata; Mammalia; Rodentia; Cricetidae
Source: RNAcentral